This 72-nucleotide transfer RNA is filed under the name Bos taurus (domestic cattle). It matches the Rfam family "tRNA". Rfam says of the family: Transfer RNA (tRNA) molecules are approximately 80 nucleotides in length. RNAcentral also lists the same sequence under 4 other names. Lineage: Eukaryota; Metazoa; Chordata; Mammalia; Artiodactyla; Bovidae. The record is from Rfam by way of RNAcentral.
UCCCUGAUAGCUCAGUUGGUAAAGAAUCUGCCUGCAAUGCAGGAGACCCUGGUUUGAUUCCUGGGUUGAGAA